UUUUUCUUCUUUUUUUUCUUUCCCCUUUUUUCUUUUCUUCUCUUCUUUUAUUCUUUUUUCUUCUCCAAACCCUAGCCGCCGCUCGCCUCUCCUCUCGUCUCCUGCUGUCGGUGAUCUCUCCACCCAGUGGUGCUGCAGUGUUGACGACGGUGGUGCUACGGCGGUGGGCGUGGUGGCACUAACGCGAUGGUGGUGGGCUGUUGCCAUUAUUUUUUUUUUGAUUUUUUCUUUUUUUUGUGAUUGUGUUGGCGUUUUAGGAGGUGGAGGUAAGGGGAAAAUAACGGUGGCAGUGGUCGCGCGACGGUGGUGAGGGGAGAACCGGCGUGAUUUGAGAUUUUUUUUGAAGUUUCUCUGCUGUUUUUUCUUCUUCUUUUUUGCCAAAAACCGAAUCUCUCUUCUCUUUCAAUUUUUUCUUUUUAAUCUUGUUAAUUUGUCUUCUUUCCCUUUGUCUUCAGGUGACAGUGGAGCAUUAUGGGCCUAGGGAGGCUGUCGGAGUAGCUAGAGGUGGCAGUGCACGCUCGGCUGCUGAUUGGGGGAUUUGACAUGUUCAAUAGGACUAAAUUGUAGAGGAUGCAAAACUUCUGGGGCAAAAAUGUAAUUUUAUAAAAAUACGGGCCAAAAUGUAAUUUCUAGAAAGUUUAAGGGCUUGAAUAUAAUUUACAAAAUAUUAGGGGUUAAAAUAUAAUUUUUAAAAAGUUUAGGGGCUAAAAUGUAAUUUCUAUUUUUUGCA
This is a long non-coding RNA of Gossypium raimondii (Peruvian cotton), 730 nucleotides long. RefSeq lists it as uncharacterized. The transcript is spliced from 2 exons. Lineage: Eukaryota; Viridiplantae; Streptophyta; Magnoliopsida; Malvales; Malvaceae. The record is from RefSeq and is a predicted model, not a curated record.